Molecule: long non-coding RNA, 276 nt
Organism: Haliotis rufescens (red abalone)
Lineage: Eukaryota; Metazoa; Mollusca; Gastropoda; Lepetellida; Haliotidae
Exons: 3
Source: RefSeq, a predicted model, not a curated record
UUCUUCGUCUCCAAGGUAGCGCGUUGAUCGAUCGGAAGUCCAUAGCAGCCAUAUUGGAUCGCAGUCAAAAUAAGAAACCCCUUAGAAAGAGGCACCAUGUUGGUUUAAAUUAUCGUUUUUGGGUACGCCACAAUAUAGUCAAGUCUGCUGAAUAUAUGCUUGAAGCUUGACCCAGACAACAGAUUCGUCUUAACGCUGCGCAUCAGUCAGACGUAUUCCCAGUUGGAACCACGCUGAAGACUUAUUGCCUGAAAUGCUUCACAAGUGAAAUGAACG